Long non-coding RNA from Biomphalaria glabrata, 677 nucleotides. RefSeq lists it as uncharacterized. The transcript is spliced from 3 exons. NCBI's taxonomy places the organism in Eukaryota, Metazoa, Mollusca, Gastropoda, Planorbidae. The record is from RefSeq and is a predicted model, not a curated record.
AAUAAAUUUUCUUGAAUGGAAAAAUUAUAACAGCUCAGGUACAGACAACUCUAAUUCUUUACUCCAGCAAGGUCAUAGAUACUACUUUCUAAAUCCAGAUCUAGAUCUACACUCAGUUCAGUUAAUUGAGUUAACAUUUUAAAAAAAAAUUAUAAAGUAGCCAUAACAGCACUACAUUACAAUGGCUGGAGAUUUUGUUCCUGAGUCAGAACUUAACCUGAAAGGCUGGCAAAGACACUUUAACUCGUACACAUUAAGGGGCAGAUUUAAUUGGGUAGUUGCAACAUAUGGAACAUUAUUUGGUAGCUACUUUCUCUACAAACUAUUAAAGAGAAAACCCAAAGCUGUGGAAAUCAAGCAUUGACAAUGAAGUCUGUGUCUUCUGACAGUGUGGAACAGUUGCCUACAAUGUACAUUUGUCUAGCUUUUACUAUACAUCCUGCUUCAUAGUGUUGUUGAUUUUUUUUAAAACAAAUUUAUAUGUAUAUUCAUAUUUUACAGCAGUUGAUUUAUUAUAACAAUUUAUUUUUAUUUUUUUGCUGUAGUUUCUUUGUUAAAUUAUGUACUAUAGGUAUUGUCAGAUGUAUAAAAAAAGAAAUUAAUGUUAUUCCAAAUACCAAAAAAAACUCUACAGAUCUUGUGUAAAAGACUCAUCAAAUAAAGUACCGGUACUGUAA